AGAGUUUGAUCCUGGCUCAGGAUGAACGCUAGCGGCAGGCUUAACACAUGCAAGUCGAGGGGUAUCACGCUUUCGGGCGUGAGAGACCGGCGCACGGGUGCGUAACGCGUAUGCAACCUACCUUUUACUGGGGGAUAGCUCCGAGAAAUCGGGAUUAAUACCUCAUAAUAAGUUUUACUGGCAUCGGUAGAACUUUAAAGCUCCGGCGGUAAGAGAUGGGCAUGCGUGCCAUUAGCUAGUUGGUGAGGUAACGGCUCACCAAGGCAACGAUGGCUAGGGGUUCUGAGAGGAUUAUCCCCCACACUGGUACUGAGACACGGACCAGACUCCUACGGGAGGCAGCAGUAAGGAAUAUUGGUCAAUGGACGCAAGUCUGAACCAGCCAUGCCGCGUGCAGGAUGACGGCCUUUAUGGUUGUAAACUGCUUUUUGUCAGGGAAUAACCCUUGUUUGCGAACAAGGCUGAAGGUACCUGAAGAAUAAGCAUCGGCUAACUCCGUGCC
Molecule: ribosomal RNA, 502 nt
Filed under: uncultured bacterium
Lineage: Bacteria
Description: bacterial SSU rRNA
Rfam family: Bacterial small subunit ribosomal RNA
Source: RNAcentral